AUGAACGCUAGCGGCAGGCUUAACACAUGCAAGUCGAGGGGUAUAUGUCUUCGGAUAUAGAGACCGGCGCACGGGUGCGUAACGCGUAUGCAAUCUACCUUUCACAGAGGGAUAGCCCAGAGAAAUUUGGAUUAAUACCUCAUAGUAUUAUUGAGUGGCAUCACUUAAUAAUUAAAGUCACAACGGUGAAAGAUGAGCAUGCGUCCCAUUAGCUAGUUGGUAAGGUAACGGCUUACCAAGGCAACGAUGGGUAGGGGUCCUGAGAGGGAGAUCCCCCACACUGGUACUGAGACACGGACCAGACUCCUACGGGAGGCAGCAGUGAGGAAUAUUGGACAAUGGGCGCAAGCCUGAUCCAGCCAUGCCGCGUGCAGGAUGACGGUCCUAUGGAUUGUAAACUGCUUUUGUACGAGAAGAAACACUGCUUCGUGAAGCAGCUUGACGGUAUCGUAAGAAUAAGGAUCGGCUAACUCCGU
This 476-nucleotide ribosomal RNA is filed under the name uncultured bacterium. Its description in RNAcentral is "bacterial SSU rRNA". It matches the Rfam family "Bacterial small subunit ribosomal RNA", at positions 29 to 506 of the family's 1533-position model. The record is from RNAcentral.